CCGCCGCGGCGCCGAGGGCGGCCCGCAGUCUUGGGCCCCGUGCCCCGCGCCCCGCGGGAGCCGGGCUCGGGAUCCAGGCUCCCAGGCCGAACGCGCGGGUCGAGCGAGCAAGUGCGGCGCAGAGACACGGGGCGCAACUGAAAUGAGCUUGACGAAGUUGUCGUUGAGCGCGAUGCCGGCCUUAGCAUCGAAGAUAGACGAAUGGGUAUCGCCAAUAAAGUCCGUGGACACGACCUGGGGGUCAGAAUUUCAAAGAUAAUAAGGGGAAACCGAGGCCGGAGGCCACUGAGCCAGUGAUGAGCAGGGAGGGGAUUCAAGACCCACAACCGUUAACCUGCCUGCUGCUGCGGCUUCCGGAACUUCCCGGACUCUGGAGCCCUGACCGAGCCCAAGCACGCCCACCCCUGCGGCACACUGGCCCCGUGCUGUUCUCCACCCUCCUCAGGAGUUACCCUAGCUGUUUCCUUUUGCCUGGAAGCCCUGCCAAUGCCUUUCCUUCGCUGCCUCUUGCGUUCCUUCAGGAGCCACCCUUUAAGAGAGGCCCUCUGGACUCCCCAUUUAAAAUUCUCUCCUCUCUCAGUCACUCUCUGCCAUCAUCCCCACUCCCUCCAUCUACCCAUCUUCCAGGAAGCCUCAUCUGACUUCCCAUCCUGGGUUAGAUGUUUCAAUGUGCAAAACUACUCUAGGGUUACACUCUAUAUUUUGAUUUUCCUCACAGCAUGUGUCUCUCUCUAAAAACCAUCUUGUUUAUUUGUUUUCUUGCCCAUUGCCUCUGCCCACCAGACUGUAAGCUCUGGGAGGACAGAGUGCUUGUCUGCCUUCAUCACUUUUAUAUCCUGUUGACUAGAAGAAUAUUUGGCACUUAAAAAGUUGUUUGCUCAGUAAAUACUACCAGAGUGAGUAAAUAAAUGUCACCUCCCGAGGUUUCUUCUCAUCUCUAGUCUUAGAGUAACCCUCAAGUCCUGUCUGAUAUCCCCCAGCACCCUGUUCUUUUCCUCAUGGCUUUUCAGGUAGUUUGCUGUGAUCUUGGUUUACUUGUUCAGUGCCUCCCUUUUGAGCUGUCUUUUCCGUUUAGUUCGCCAUUGGGCCUCCAGCCCCUUGAACUGUGUCUGACACCAAGCAGGCUUUCCAUGAACAUUUGGGGAAGAACAGAUGGGCAGAUGGCUCUCUUUCACCAAGGCACUGGGGUGGGGGCUUGCGUGCACACCUGUGACUCACAAGAAGUCACCUUCACUUGCAGCGCCAGUUGACACACAACUGUGACCAAGAUUUAGGGGGUGUGGGGGUUUGGGCCAAGAAGGAGUCAUCAUCCCAGAGAGAGGUGUGGAAGCAAGAAUGGGCAGAAUGACAACCUCUUCCUUCCCCAAACCUCCAUGGGCACUCAGUUUGCUAGGACCCUGCCACAGAUAAGCGUGAGGCCCUCCUGCUCGCAUGGCCCGGGAGAGGUGGAACAGAAAAGAGGUUGAGCGUAUAGAUGGGGAGAUUGGAAUGAACCAAGACCAAAAACCAGAUACUAAGUAAACAAAGAGGGACAAACCUAACAUGUAUAAUCAAGGUGUGGGGAAAGAGUGCGCAAAUAAAACCAGGACUGCAAAGGGACCAAUUUGGUACAACUUUACAAUCACUGGUAUGAAAAGAUAGAUGCAAUCAAAAUUUUUGUAGAAAAUCUGAAGCAUCAAAACUGGUGCAAAAAGAAAUGGCAAAUCUGAGUAGGCCAAUAACAAGAGAAGAAACAGAGAGUUAAGAUCUAUCCUUCCAAAGGCUGAUUCAGAUCUGGACGAUUUUAUGGGCAAGAUCUGCUGAAGAAUGGGGAACAAAUAUUUGCCAUCCUGUAGGAACUGUUGCAGAUCCUGACCAGAGCUGGGAAGCCCAGUGGCAGCUCCUGUGCAGAGUGACUCUGAGUCAGGCACUUGCUCUGAGGCCCUGCAAGGUGACAGGCACGCUGUGUGUACACAUGUGGCAUGCUUCUCAGGAGUGCUCUGGGGACCUGUGAUAGAUCAGCAGUGGAAACCGCCUUGACGUACUGAGGAAACCCGCACCGCCACGUGACCAAAACCAGCAGAGGAUGGCAAGGAAAGGACAACUCCAGAUUCAUCUCGUGUAUGGAGAUGGAUGCCAAAAUCCUGAAUCAAAUCACGGCAAAUGGGAGUGAAGCACUGAGGAGAGGGACCGAGGCUGACAGAGGAUGGUAGGACGGGGCAGAGAGAUGGGUGGGAGAGAGAAGCAGAGGACAUUUCCAGAGGAGAAACCCCACCUCUCAAUCUUGGUGCAGAUUAGAAUUCUGAAGCUCACCACUCACCCUUCUCCACCCAGCAACCUCCUGGCACAGGGAACUCCCUCAUUCAGGUGCUGGACAGGGGCACAAAAGCCACUGCUGAGGUUGCCCAGGGAUUUGGCUUUGUCGCUGGAGCAUGAAACUGGGAAACAAGCUUGGAGAGGUGGCACAAUUAGUCACCCUCUGCAGGCAGAGCCUAGAGAAGGCAAAAGGUCCUUGGUUCUCUGGGUCCGGGAUGCCUGAUUCUGGGUGGAACCAGGGUCUAGGGUGGAACCCUGGGUCCUCCAAGGGGAAUGGGCCUUGUCGCCCUUGUUUGAGCAAAGCCUGAAAACACGUGCAGAUUCCUGCCCCACCUGGGCACCCACAUACAUAACUCUGCCACCCCAUUCACUCACACCCUGCGCAUUCCUUCUACGUGGCCUUCCUACCAGCAGUCCCACCUCCACCCCACCUCCCAGUCUUUCCUCUUGGCACCAAAACCCCAGUAUCUUUCACCCCUGCACCCAACUGUACCCACACACUGGCCCUCAUCCUUCUGGUCUCAGCCUCCCUCCAAACUAGCUCUAGAUAGUUUGGCUGCAGCAGACCGCCCUCCCACCCUCUGCGCAUCCCUCUGCAGCCCCUCUCCACACUGAGGCCAAACCCUCAGCUGUUUCUCUCUUCAGCCCCUGCCAAUAUGUUAACCAGUUGGGGCUUCAGGUUGGGACUUAGGAGGCCUCAGUGGGGAGGAGGGCAGGAAGGAUGAGCUCCUGGCCCUCAGCCCAGGUUCUGGCUGACAGUCUCCUGCCACCCCGAGUCUUCGGCCCCUCCCCAUGGCUGCCUCAACCGGCUUUUCAGGAGACACUGCGUCCUGUCCCAGCUCAUGGCAGUCAGCCCCCUGCCCUUGCCCCAGGGCUGGGAGGCAGGAUGAGAAUGUGAUCCUGGCUCUAAAAUCUGCACCCUUCACCAUGGGACCCUAUGCUACUCUGGGGAUCCAGGUGACCUUCCCUCCAGCCCCCUUUAGACUCAGGCUCAGGCCUGAACUGUCUUCCCCUGGCUUCUAAUCUAUCUGUUUGUUCAUCCUAGAAAUAUUUCCUGAACCCCAGGCAAUAUUCUAGAAGCUGAGGAUAUAGCAGUGACCAACACAGACUAAGGCCCCAUCCUCUGAAAGUUUAUAAUCUGAUAGGUGAGACAGACAGUAAAAGAAGAUAAUUUGGGAUUGUGGUAAGAGCUAUUAAAACUGAAGGAUGGUAUUACAGAGUAUAUAUGGUGUAUGGCCAGGGAGGGAAGGGUUUUUGUUUCUGUUUCUGUUUCUGUUUCUGUUUCUGUUUUUGUUUUUGUUUUUGUUUUUGUUUUUGUUUUUGUUUUUGUUUUAGAAGGUGAUAUUUGAACCAAGAAGAAAAUGAGGGGGAACCCACCUUGUGAAGAUCUGCAUUCUACAUUCCAGGCAGAGAGAACAGCAAGUGAAAAGGCCAUGAGGCCAUGAAUGAGCUGGUCUCUUACUGCUGGGGAAGCUGAAUCCUGGGAGGCAUGAGGAUCCUGAAGAACCAGGCCUGGGCCCCAGGGACGAAGGGUGAUUGAAGGGCGGUCAUCCAGGCGGAUCCACAGGCCAGCACGGAGGGGUCGCAACCACGACCUUAACAUCUGGAGCUUCGGUCAACAAGCCCUUCAUCGACUUUCCAACUCUGUGGAAGAGCGUCACCAACAUCAUUCCCUAAACUG
This is an RNA transcript of Camelus dromedarius (Arabian camel), 3976 nucleotides long. It is a transcript of the gene named suprabasin, with no coding region annotated. The transcript has 8 exons. Lineage: Eukaryota; Metazoa; Chordata; Mammalia; Artiodactyla; Camelidae. The record is from RefSeq and is a predicted model, not a curated record.